RNAcentral lists this ribosomal RNA (500 nucleotides) under uncultured Glomeromycotina. RNAcentral describes it as "partial small subunit ribosomal RNA". It matches the Rfam family "Eukaryotic small subunit ribosomal RNA", at positions 591 to 1092 of the family's 1831-position model. Lineage: Eukaryota; Fungi; Glomeromycota. The record is from RNAcentral.
CCAAUAGCGUAUAUUAAAGUUGUUGCAGUUAAAAAGCUCGUAGUUGAAUUUCGGGAUUAGUACGCUGGUCGUGCCUUUGGUAUGUACUGGUGUUACUGAUUCCUACCUUCUGACGAACCGUCAUGUCAUUAAUUUGGUGUGGCGGGAAAUCAGGACUGUUACUUUGAAAAAAUUAGAGUGUUUAAAGCAGGCUCGCGCUUGAAUACAUUAGCAUGGAAUAAUGAAAUAGGACGUUCGAUCCUAUUUUGUUGGUUUCUAGGAUUGACGUAAUGAUUAAUAGGGAUAGUUGGGGGCAUUAGUAUUCAAUUGUCAGAGGUGAAAUUCUUGGAUUUAUUGAAGACUAACUACUGCGAAAGCAUUUGCCAAGGAUGUUUUCAUUAAUCAAGAACGAAAGUCAGGGGAUCGAAGACGAUCAGAUACCGUCGUAGUCUUAACCAUAAACUAUGCCGACUAGGGAUCGGAUGAUGUUAAUUUUUUAAUGACUCAUUCGGCGCCUUACG